Molecule: ribosomal RNA, 429 nt
Filed under: Pseudomonadota bacterium
Lineage: Bacteria; Pseudomonadati; Pseudomonadota
Description: Proteobacteria bacterium partial 16S ribosomal RNA
Rfam family: Bacterial small subunit ribosomal RNA
Source: RNAcentral
UGGGGAAUAUUGGACAAUGGGCGAAAGCCUGAUCCAGCCAUGCCGCGUGUGUGAAGAAGGUCUUCGGAUUGUAAAGCACUUUAAGUUGGGAGGAAGGGCAGUAAGCGAAUACCUUGCUGUUUUGACGUUACCGACAGAAUAAGCACCGGCUAACUCUGUGCCAGCAGCCGCGGUAAUACAGAGGGUGCAAGCGGUAAUCGGAAUUACUGGGCGUAAAGCGCGCGUAGGUGGUUCGUUAAGUUGAAUGUGAAAGCCCCGGGCUCAACCUGGGAACUGCAUCCAAAACUGGCGAGCUAGAGUAGGGCAGAGGGUGGUGGAAUUUCCUGUGUAGCGGUGAAAUGCGUAGAUAUAGGAAGGAACACCAGGGGCGAAGGCGACCACCUGGGCUCAUACUGACACUGAGGUGCGAAAGCGUGGGGAGCAAACAGG